RNAcentral lists this ribosomal RNA (1165 nucleotides) under uncultured organism. RNAcentral describes it as "bacterial SSU rRNA". It matches the Rfam family "Bacterial small subunit ribosomal RNA", at positions 167 to 1335 of the family's 1533-position model. The record is from RNAcentral.
UAUCCCAUAAUAUCCAGAAAACGCAUGUUUUCUGGAUUAAAGUUCCGGCGGUUAAAGAUGGGCAUGCGUGGCAUUAGUUAGUUAGUGAGGUAUCGGCUCACCAAGGCAAUGAUGCCUAGGGGUCCUGAGAGGGUUUUCCCCCACACUGGUACUGAGACACGGACCAGACUCCUACGGGAGGCAGCAGUAAGGAAUAUUGGGCAAUAGGCGCAAGCCUGACCCAGCCAUGCCGCGUGCAGGAUGACGGCCCUAUGGGUUGUAAACUGCUUUUGUAUGGGAAAAAACUCCCGCACGUGUGCGGGACUGAUUGUACCAUACGAAUAAGCAUCGGCUAACUCCGUGCCAGCAGCCGCGGUAAUACGGAGGAUGCAAGCGUUAUCCGGAUUUAUUGGGUUUAAAGGGUGCGCAGGCGGAUUAGUAAGUCAGUGGUGAAAGCUCCCGGCUCAACCGGGAAAAUGCCAUUGAUACUGUUAAUCUUGAGUACAGUUGAGGUUGGCGGAAUGUAUCAUGUAGCGGUGAAAUGCAUAGAUAUGAUACAGAACACCGAUAGCGAAGGCAGCUUACCAAACUGUAACUGACGCUCAUGCACGAAAGCGUGGGGAGCAAACAGGAUUAGAUACCCUGGUAGUCCACGCUGUAAACUAUGAUCACUCGCUGUUGGCGAUACACUGUCAGCGGCUUAGCGAAAGUGUUAAGUGAUCCACCUGGGGAGUACGAUCGCAAGGUUGAAACUCAAAGGAAUUGACGGGGGCCCGCACAAGCGGAGGAGCAUGUGGUUUAAUUCGAUGAUACGCGAGGAACCUUACCUGGGCUUAAAUGCAGAACGACUUCCCGAGAAAUCGGGACUUCCUUCGGGACGGACUGCAAGGUGCUGCAUGGUUGUCGUCAGCUCGUGCCGUGAGGUGUCGGGUUAAGUCCCAUAACGAGCGCAACCCUUAUCCUUAGUUGCCAACAGGUAAUGCUGGGAACUCUAAGGAAACUGCCUACGCAAGUAGUGAGGAAGGUGGGGAUGACGUCAAAUCAGCACGGCCCUUAUGUCCAGGGCUACACACGUGCUACAAUGGUCGGUACAGAGGGCAGCUACCUGGCAACAGGAUGCUAAUCUCGAAAGCCGAUCUCAGUUCGGAUUGGAGUCUGCAACUCGACUCCAUGAAGUUGGAUUCGC